AUUGAACGCUGGCGGCAGGCUUAACACAUGCAAGUCGAGCGGAGAGAGGUAGCUUGCUACUGAUCUUAGCGGCGGACGGGUGAGUAAUGCUUGGGAAUCUGCCUAUUAGUGGGGGACAACAUUUCGAAAGGAAUGCUAAUACCGCAUAUGUCCUACGGGAGAAAGCAGGGGAUCUUCGGACCUUGCGCUAAUAGAUGAGCCUAAGUCGGAUUAGCUAGUUGGUGGGGUAAAGGCCUACCAAGGCGACGAUCUGUAGCGGGUCUGAGAGGAUGAUCCGCCACACUGGGACUGAGACACGGCCCAGACUCCUACGGGAGGCAGCAGUGGGGAAUAUUGGACAAUGGGCGCAAGCCUGAUCCAGCCAUGCCGCGUGUGUGAAGAAGGCCUUAUGGUUGUAAAGCACUUUAAGCGAGGAGGAGGCUACUUUAGUUAAUACCUAGAGAUAGUGGACGUUACUCGCAGAAUAAGCACCGGCUAACUCUGUGCCAGCAGCCGCGGUAAUACAGAGGGUGCAAGCGUUAAUCGGAUUUACUGGGCGUAAAGCGCGCGUAGGCGGCUAAUUAAGUCAAAUGUGAAAUCCCCGAGCUUAACUUGGGAAUUGCAUUCGAUACUGGUUAGCUAGAGUGUGGGAGAGGAUGGUAGAAUUCCAGGUGUAGCGGUGAAAUGCGUAGGGAUCUGGAGGAAUACCGAUGGCGAAGGCAGCCAUCUGGCCUAACACUGACGCUGAGGUGCGAAAGCAUGGGGAGCAAACAGGAUUAGAUACCCUGGUAGUCCAUGCCGUAAACGAUGUCUACUAGCCGUUGGGGCCUUUGAGGCUUUAGUGGCGCAGCUAACGCGAUAAGUAGACCGCCUGGGGAGUACGGUCGCAAGACUAAAACUCAAAUGAAUUGACGGGGGCCCGCACAAGCGGUGGAGCAUGUGGUUUAAUUCGAUGCAACGCGAAGAACCUUACCUGGCCUUGACAUAGUAAGAACUUUCCAGAGAUGGAUUGGUGCCUUCGGGAACUUACAUACAGGUGCUGCAUGGCUGUCGUCAGCUCGUGUCGUGAGAUGUUGGGUUAAGUCCCGCAACGAGCGCAACCCUUUUCCUUAUUUGCCAGCGAGUAAUGUCGGGAACUUUAAGGAUACUGCCAGUGACAAACUGGAGGAAGGCGGGGACGACGUCAAGUCAUCAUGGCCCUUACGGCCAGGGCUACACACGUGCUACAAUGGUCGGUACAAAGGGUUGCUACCUAGCGAUAGGAUGCUAAUCUCAAAAAGCCGAUCGUAGUCCGGAUUGGAGUCUGCAACUCGACUCCAUGAAGUCGGAAUCGCUAGUAAUCGCGGAUCAGAAUGCCGCGGUGAAUACGUUCCCGGGCCU
Molecule: ribosomal RNA, 1359 nt
Filed under: uncultured bacterium
Lineage: Bacteria
Description: bacterial SSU rRNA
Rfam family: Bacterial small subunit ribosomal RNA
Source: RNAcentral